GAUGAACGCUGGCGGCGUGCCUAAUACAUGCAAGUCGAGCGAACGGACGAGAAGCUUGCUUCUCUGAUGUUAGCGACGGACGGGUGAGUAACACGUGGAUAACCCACCUAUAAGACUGGGAUAACUUCGGGAAACCGGAGCUAAUACCGGAUGAUAUUUUGAACCGCAUGGUUCAAAAGUGUAAGACGGUCUUGCUGUCACUUAUAGAUGGAUCCGCGCUGCAUUAGCUAGUUGGUAAGGUAACGGCUUACCAAGGCAACGAUGCAUAGCCGACCUGAGAGGGUGAUCGGCCACACUGGAACUGAGACACGGUCCAGACUCCUACGGGAGGCAGCAGUAGGGAAUCUUCCGCAAUGGGCGAAAGCCUGACGGAGCAACGCCGCGUGAGUGAUGAAGGUCUUCGGAUCGUAAAACUCUGUUAUUAGGGAAGAACAUAUGUGUAAGUAACUGUGCACAUCUUGACGGUACCUAAUCAGAAAGCCACGGCUAACUACGUG
This 497-nucleotide ribosomal RNA is filed under the name uncultured bacterium. Its description in RNAcentral is "partial 16S ribosomal RNA". It matches the Rfam family "Bacterial small subunit ribosomal RNA", at positions 28 to 507 of the family's 1533-position model. The record is from RNAcentral.